Cervus elaphus (red deer) is the source of this 577-nucleotide long non-coding RNA. RefSeq lists it as uncharacterized. Lineage: Eukaryota; Metazoa; Chordata; Mammalia; Artiodactyla; Cervidae. The record is from RefSeq and is a predicted model, not a curated record. The transcript is spliced from 3 exons.
GAAGGCCCUUCAGGAAGUGGAGGCUGAGAAAGGGCCAGGCAAGGAGAAGUUCUGUGGGAGGCAAGGCCUGUGAGGGAUGGAGGGAAGGAACCGCGAGGAAACCCUUUGAGAAAGCAACCUUACGAGGAAGAAUCCCAAGGCUCAGGAAGUGAACAGAUUCAUCUCCUACAGCACAACUAAUAGGUAAUGUACGAGGAUAAGGAUCUCUGGCAGCCCAGCUCCCAACUCUCAGGUUUUAACUACACUGCAGAGCCACCUCCAGGAAGCAGAAAUAGGCAGAAGCAGUGAUGACAACCCUAUGCCUUUGCUCAUGAAGUUUCCUAUCACUCAUUUCACUCCACUCCUGUCAAGUCUUCGGAAGGAAUUUUGGAUGUUCCCUGACUCCAGGUUUAAGGACUCUUCCACCAAAAGGUUAUAAAGUAAAUGUUUACAGUAAUCUUUGCCCACCUUGGACUGUUCCUAUCUCUGGUAUUUCACCACGAUCAGAGUCUAAGAUCAUUUGGCAAACAUUUUAAGGAAAUAAAAGGUAUGAAAAUCCCUUUAUUGAGGUCAGAACUAUGGAGUUACAGAGAGACUU